Molecule: long non-coding RNA, 496 nt
Filed under: Octopus vulgaris (common octopus)
Lineage: Eukaryota; Metazoa; Mollusca; Cephalopoda; Octopoda; Octopodidae
Source: RNAcentral
UUCCGCCACGCGAUGUUUCGACAUGCUAAUAAUAGCAACCAGAUUCCCUGAAAUCUUACCCAAACGUGUUAUAUAUAUAUAUAUAUAUAUAUAUAUAUAUAUAUAUAUGUGUAUGUAUGAAGGAAAGAAAAGCCAAGGGCAGUUACAGUCCUACACAAAGAGUCCAAAAGACACGCUGAUCACUGCUGCGAAGCUUGUUGUUAUCUGCCUGCUCGAUCAGAUUGUGCCUGGGGCUGAACAACAAUAACAAUAACAGUAACAAAACAACCAACAGCAGCAGCAGCGGCAGCAGUAGUGGCAGCAGCAACAGUAGCAACAUAAUAAUAAUAACAACAGCAACACCAUCAGCAACAUGCUGGCACAUUGCAUGUACACUGUCGUACGUUCGCACAUGCACGUCAAUAGAUGAAGAAGAACAACACGUCCAUUAUUACGCGACACAAUACUGGAAGCACUCGUACAAAUAUAUUCCAAGGUAAUCGUGCCUCUUCUCUUU